GACCCAGUAGCGGACGGUCCGCGCCCGCCCGUGUAGGGAACGAAAUAAGCAUAGUUGUCCAGCGAGAGUUCCUGGUUCGACUCCAGGCUGGGUCA
Molecule: non-coding RNA, 95 nt
Organism: Mycena rosella
Lineage: Eukaryota; Fungi; Basidiomycota; Agaricomycetes; Agaricales; Mycenaceae
Source: the annotation of a GenBank genome assembly